Small nuclear RNA from Lemur catta (Ring-tailed lemur), 108 nucleotides. NCBI's taxonomy places the organism in Eukaryota, Metazoa, Chordata, Mammalia, Primates, Lemuridae. The record is from RefSeq and is a predicted model, not a curated record.
GUGCUCGCUUAGGCAGCAUAUACACAAAAAUUGGAAUGACACAGAUAAGAUUAGCAUGGCCCCUGCGCCAGGAUGACACAUUUUAAUAAGGAAAAAAUAAAUAAAUAA